RNAcentral lists this ribosomal RNA (253 nucleotides) under uncultured bacterium. RNAcentral's name for it is "partial 16S ribosomal RNA". It matches the Rfam family "Bacterial small subunit ribosomal RNA", at positions 524 to 776 of the family's 1533-position model. The record is from RNAcentral.
UACGAGGGGGGCAAAUGUUGUUCGGAAUCACUGGGCGUAAAGGGCGCGUAGGCGGGUUUCUAAGUCAGGUGUUUAAUCCCGGGGCCCAACCCCGGACAGGCACUUGAAACUGGGAAUCUUGAAUAGUGGAGAGGUCAGUGGAAUUGGAGGUGUAGCGGUGGAAUGCGUAGAGAUCUCCAAGAACACCAGUUGCGAAGGCGGCUGACUGGACACAUAUUGACGCUGAGGAACGAAAGCUAGGGGAGCAAACAGG